Molecule: ribosomal RNA, 254 nt
Filed under: uncultured bacterium
Lineage: Bacteria
Description: partial 16S ribosomal RNA
Rfam family: Bacterial small subunit ribosomal RNA
Source: RNAcentral
UACGUAGGGUGCAAGCGUUUAUCCGGAAUUAUUGGGCGUAAAGAGCUCGUAGGCGGUUUGUCACGUCUGCUGUGAAACUGGAGGCUCAACCUCCAGCCUGCAGUGGGUACGGGCAGACUAGAGUGCGGUAGGGGAGAUUGGAAUUCCUGGUGUAGCGGUGGAAUGCGCAGAUAUCAGGAGGAACACCGAUGGCGAAGGCAGACCUCUGGGCCGUAACUGACGGCUGAGGAGCGAAAGCAUGGGGAGCGAACAGG